This 54-nucleotide ribosomal RNA is filed under the name Byblis filifolia. RNAcentral's name for it is "partial 28S ribosomal RNA". Lineage: Eukaryota; Viridiplantae; Streptophyta; Magnoliopsida; Lamiales; Byblidaceae. The record is from RNAcentral.
CCCCAGGUCAGGCGGGACCACCCGCUGAGUUUAAGCAUAUCAAUAAGCGGAGGA